This 520-nucleotide ribosomal RNA is filed under the name Leptopterna dolabrata. Its description in RNAcentral is "eukaryotic LSU rRNA". It matches the Rfam family "Eukaryotic large subunit ribosomal RNA", at positions 666 to 1138 of the family's 3401-position model. The record is from RNAcentral. Lineage: Eukaryota; Metazoa; Arthropoda; Insecta; Hemiptera; Miridae.
CCAAGGAGUUUAGCGUGUGCGCGAGUCAUUGGGUGUCAAAACCUAAAGGCGUAAUGAAAGUGAAGGGAACUCCGCUUUCCGAGGGAGGAUGGGUCGAGUCCCUUUAUACGGGCCGGCCUCGCACUCCCGGGGCGUCUCCAUCUCAUCGCGAGAGGAGGCGCACCCAGAGCGCACACGCUGAUACCCGAAAGAUGGUGAACUAUGCCUGGCCAGGACGAAGCCAGGGGAAACCCUGGUGGAGGUCCGCAGCGAUUCUGACGUGCAAAUCGAUCGUCGGAGCUGGGUUUAGGGGCGAAAGACCAAUCGAACCAUCUAGUAGCUGGUUCCCUCUGAAGUUUCCCUCAGGAUAGCUUGCGCUCGGACGAAACGAGUCUCAUCCGGUAGAGCGAAUGAUUAGAGGCCUUGGGGUCGAAACGACCUCAACCUAUUCUCAAACUCCAAAUAGAUGAGAACCCCGGCUUUCUUGAACAUUGUUUAUGAAGCCGGGGGCUUGGAUCAGAGUGCCAAGUGGGCCAAUUUU